RNAcentral lists this small RNA (2302 nucleotides) under Pan troglodytes (chimpanzee). Lineage: Eukaryota; Metazoa; Chordata; Mammalia; Primates; Hominidae. The record is from RNAcentral.
CUUUUCCAAGAGGCUGCCGAAGAUGGCGGAGGUGCAGGUCCUGGUGCUUGAUGGUCGAGGCCAUCUCCUGGGCCGCCUGGCGGCCAUCGUGGCUAAACAGGUACUGCUGGGUAAGUCGCUGCUCGCGGCCCCUCUGUCAUGGGCCCCCGCUGGAGGUCAGUGAUGAGCAACAUUCACCAUCUUUCGUUUGAGUCUCACGGCCAUGAGAUCAACCCCAUGCACCGCUCUGAGACCUGCCAGCCACUCUUCCCCAGGGUUGGGGACUCCAGGCUCAAGAAGUAAUUAUGUAUUAGGCUAGUUUUUCAUUUUAACAUGAACUUAGCUCUGGCGAGUACUGCGCUGUGUCUGGAGGGUUGACUGCAUAGGCAAUGGUGGGACCCUCAGGCGGCUCGGCCCUGCUAAGCCUUUCCCUCCCUCUAGGCCGGAAGGUGGUGGUCGUACGCUGUGAAGGCAUCAACAUUUCUGGCAAUUUCUACAGAAACAAGUGUAAGUUAGGACCUGGGAGGAACACUGGAGAGGGUCUCCCUGUGGGGUGUUGAGGCUCUGAAAGCAAUUGCAGCCGUGUUGGGAGAGGCUACUUGGGGUUUCUGAGAAGGCCCUUGGAAGUGGGGUUUUGAGGGUGCUGGUAGACUGGGCAGGCCUCACACUCUCCCCUCUCCCUAGUGAAGUACCUGGCUUUCCUCCGCAAGCGGAUGAACACCAACCCUUCCCGAGGCCCCUACCACUUCCGGGCCCCCAGCCGCAUCUUCUGGCGGACCGUGCGAGGUGAGCAGAGCGUGGGGACUGCAGGUGGUGACGGGCAGGCGGCCGGUGAUGAGAACUUCUCCCACUCACAUUCGAGUUUCCCGACCAUGAGAUGACUCCACAUGCACUACCAUCUGAGGCCACCCCAUGGGCCCACCUCAGUGGGGAGGGUGGGCGUCCUUAUGAGGCCCUCUGACUGGGCCUGCUAUCUGUCACCCAACAGGUAUGCUGCCCCACAAAACCAAGCGAGGCCAGGCCGCUCUGGACCGUCUCAAGGUGUUUGACGGCAUCCCACCGCCCUACGACAAGGUGAGCUGUGCCAAACCCCACAGGCAGCGGCCUUACCUGUGGCGUCUGUGAUGUUCCGCAACUACCUACAUUGUUUGAUCCUCAUGAAAGCAGCACUGGCUGAGACGCCAGUCCAGCCGACCUCCUUCCCUGUCUGUCCCUCCCGGGCUCUUAAGCCCCUCUCUUUCUCUAACAGAAAAAGCGGAUGGUGGUUCCUGCUGCCCUCAAGGUCGUGCGUCUGAAGCCUACAAGAAAGGUGAGUCCCAGCUUAUGCUGCACCAUCUACUUGGGAGAUUUCAGGCCUGCUGAGGGACCUGGGGACCCGGAGCCUGGCAGAUGAUGUCCUUAUCUCACGAUGGUCUGCGGAUGUCCCUGCGGGAAUGGCGACAAUGCCAAUGGCUUAGCUGAUGCCAGGAGGCUUGGGUGGGUGCUUUUCUAACAGGCCUUCAGAGAACAGUUGCAUUAUGAUAUGCCCAGCUGUCAGUCACCUCCCAGCUCUCACCAGCUCCGGCUCUUCAGGGUGUGGGGGCUUAGAUAUCCUUACAACUUCAUUUGUUCACCGCCCCCGCAGUUUGCCUAUCUGGGGCGCCUGGCUCACGAGGUUGGCUGGAAGUACCAGGCAGUGACAGCCACCCUGGAGGAGAAGAGGAAAGAGAAAGCCAAGAUCCACUACCGGAAGAAGAAACAGCUCAUGAGGCUACGGAAACAGGCCGAGAAGAACGUGGAGAAGAAAAUUGACAAAUACACAGAGGUCCUCAAGACCCACGGACUCCUGGUCUGAGCCCAAUAAAGACUGUUAAUUCCUCAUGCGUUGCCUGCCCUUCCUCCAUUGUCGCCCUGGAAUGUACGGGACCCAGGGGCAGCAGCAGUCCAGGUGCCACAGGCAGCCUGGGACAUAGGAAGCUGGGAGCAAGGAAAGGGUCUUAGUCACUGCCUCCUGAAGUUGCUUGAAAGCACUUGGAGAAUUGUGCAGGUGUCAUUUAUCUAUGACCAAUAGGAAGAGCAACCAGUUACUAUGAGUGAAAGGGAGCCAGAAGACUGAUUGGAGGGCCCUAUCUUGUGAGUGGGGCAUCUGUUGGACUUUCCACCUGGUCAUAUACUCUGCAGCUGUUAGAAUGUGCAAGCACUUGGGGACAGCAUGAGCUUGCUGUUGUACACAGGGUAUUUCUAGAAGCAGAAAUAGACUGGGAAGAUGCACAACCAAGGGGUUACAGGCAUCACCCGUGCUCCUCACCUGUAUUUUGUAAUCAGAAAUAAAUUGCUUUUAAAG